This is a long non-coding RNA of Alosa sapidissima (American shad), 2306 nucleotides long. RefSeq lists it as uncharacterized. NCBI's taxonomy places the organism in Eukaryota, Metazoa, Chordata, Actinopteri, Clupeiformes, Clupeidae. The transcript has 3 exons. The record is from RefSeq and is a predicted model, not a curated record.
UACUUGAGGAGAAGAAGACAGCCUAAGGGCUUUAUGACUGUGAUGUCCUGUGCACAGGAUAUCUUACAAGACCACAGCCUUUUGCUGAUACUGACAACUUCUUGUGUAAGGUAUCUCAGUGAAUCAGGGGUGCUAUAGAGGGGCCUGGCAUGGUACAGGACAUGGGAAAAGGCUGGUAUGCACUGACAUCUAUUGGCAAGCAUGCGCAGAAUGUAAACAGUGAAUGUAUGUCAACAGGAAGUUCCCAUCUACUGUAGGCAGGUGUGUUUACAGUAGUGCAGUACAGUAGCCUCUUUGUUCCCUUUGUGCGCCAUUUCGACAGGAUCAUUCACUGAAGGUAUGUAUAAUUGUUUUUAAUCAUGUUGUUAUUCAAACAGUCUCAUAUCAAUUACACAUUCGCAUACAAAAGGUUUACUUCAUUGUUAUUAUGUGGUUCUUGAUAUGCAUGUAAUACCUAUAUGUUGAGGAUACAGGUUUUGAUUUGCAGACUUGUUUUGAUAGAUGUUUAGAUUUAUGCAGCAUAAUAGCAUGUUGCAUGCUCACAUAAAUGCUUGCUUAAUGACAUGGUUUUGCCCAGUUUUCUUGCUGCAGAUGAUUCAUGUAGUCCACAGCUUUGGAAAUGUCUGUCUGCGCAUGUGUGUUUCUCGGGCUGUAAUUGCCCAUGCGUUUAUGAGAAAAACAUUAUACCCUUGACUUUAGUCUGUCACUUAUGUGUCAUGAAGGCAGUUAUGUGCUUCUGGAGAAGCAACCCCAACAUUCUUAUGUGCUGUUAUGUUGGCCUAAUUCUCCCCCUGACUUGAUAGGCACUUCUGAGGGCCGUGUUACGUAAGUCAGGCGCCACUACAAGGUGAAACACUGUAUUGCAUUUUAAGUGUGCAAUAUAGGCCUCUAACAUCACAAAGUAUCACAAUAUUUGAUAUCAAAUGUGUACUGUAAUAGAAUUGUGAUGCCCCCUAUUACAAUAUAAAUAAAGUGACAUAUUUGCCAACAUCAACUUAUUUAGGCUACAUUGUUAAACAGGAGAGAAAAGAAACAUUUCACUUGAUAUGAUGUUGUGCAGAUGAAUGGACAAAAAACUGUCAAGCCACAGUAAUCAAUCAUCAAUAUUCUCUAACAAUCUUCCCUCUAAUACAUCAACUGCUGUGCCUCUAGCCUCUAGUUCAUUUCAGAAGGUUGCUGGUAUUGUUGUGCCCAUAGCAUUCUUAUUAGAGCCUCCUGCACAGCUAGAUGUCAGUCUUGAGCUUUGUGAAAAGCAUUUGUCUUCAAUGAGUUCUAGUACUAGUUGCUUUUUAUGCCACUUUGUGCACACCAGGGCUGUGUGACCUUCUGAUACAGUAUUUGCGUAUGUAUAACCCUCUGUUGGUAAAAGUAAUGAGUGUCUGUGCACUCUCCCUCUAUACUAUAUAGUCAAUGAAAAUAUCACCUAUUCAAGCAAACUAAAGACCAGACUGCCUUCGAAAACAGUUGAAACAAUUGGCUCAUUCAAUGUCAUGCAUAGUGUUUGAUUAAUUCUAAAAUACUGUAAUAGGCUAAUAAUAAUAAUAAUAAAAAAUUAAAACAUUUGCCAACUCAUUGCAUUUGCUGUGCUGGUUUAGGCCAAAGUCUCCUCUAAAGUCCUCUAAAGGCCUAACAGAACAAUUUAAAUAAAUUAUGGACUCUAGAUGGCACUAUUCAACUAACUCAUAGCCCACUGAACUGAUCCGAGAUGAUGGAUGUGUGGAUAGAUGGAUAGAUAGAUAGAUAGAUAGAUAGAUAGAUAGGCUGUGUUUCUUUCUUAAGAUGGGUAAAUCAGUCUUGGCUUGUGAUAUGUCAACCAUAACCCAUUCAUUCCCAUGGAAGCCUCAGCAAUAACUAAUGUACCUGUGAAGCUCUGUUUUUUUCUGGUCUGGAAUUUUUGUGGAGUAUGUUGAACAAAUGUACCUUUGCAGGGGCUUACUAGAACAUUAUUGAUGCCAGGAAGUUAGCUUAACAUUAGAAAAGCUAAUGAGCUAACAGGUUAUUUCCUUCAGUAGUCGCUUGACUGUGUUGAUAGCCAAAUGUCCAAUUGAAAAUAAACUAGCUUGGUUAGUUUAACACAUUGAGUCUGUUCAUGUUAUUCAAUUAUACUACCUAGAUUGAAGUUACAGUAAGCAUUUCAUUGCCUUGAACACAAGAUGGCAUAUCGUACAUGUACAUUUGCAUUUUGCAAGACAAUCUACAGUAUAAAUACAUGCAUUUCAGUGCCUUAAACACUAGAUGUCUAGCCUGACGAGCCAGACCCACAUUAAAAUGUAGGGUCUGGGCACUCACCGUUCGCAGUACUCAGU